This 542-nucleotide ribosomal RNA is filed under the name uncultured bacterium. RNAcentral's name for it is "bacterial SSU rRNA". It matches the Rfam family "Bacterial small subunit ribosomal RNA", at positions 777 to 1320 of the family's 1533-position model. The record is from RNAcentral.
AAUAGAUACCCCGGUAGUCCACCCCGUAAACGUUGGGAACUAGUUGUGGGUCCUUUCCACGGAUUCCGUGACGCAGCUAACGCAUUAAGUUCCCCGCCUGGGGAGUACGGCCGCAAGGCUAAAACUCAAAGGAAUUGACGGGGACCCGCACAAGCGGCGGAGCAUGCGGAUUAAUUCGAUGCAACGCGAAGAACCUUACCAAGGCUUGACAUACACCGGAAACGGCCAGAGAUGGUCGCCCCGCAAGGUCGGUGUACAGGUGGUGCAUGGUUGUCGUCAGCUCGUGUCGUGAGAUGUUGGGUUAAGUCCCGCAACGAGCGCAACCCUCGUUCUAUGUUGCCAGCACGUCAUGGUGGGAACUCAUGGGAUACUGCCGGGGUCAACUCGGAGGAAGGUGGGGAUGACGUCAAAUCAUCAUGCCCCUUAUGUCUUGGGCUUCACGCAUGCUACAAUGGCCGGUACAAAGGGCUGCAAUACCGUGAGGUGGAGCGAAUCCCAAAAAGCCGGUCCCAGUUCGGAUUGAGGUCUGCAACUCGACCUCA